Molecule: RNA transcript, 1280 nt
Organism: Setaria italica (foxtail millet)
Lineage: Eukaryota; Viridiplantae; Streptophyta; Magnoliopsida; Poales; Poaceae
Gene name: NEP1-interacting protein 2-like
Exons: 5
Source: RefSeq, a predicted model, not a curated record
CGCCUCAGGAAACGGCGGCCCGCUCCUCCGUCUCCGCCUGCUUUCCCGUGACGACGCCCUUCCUUUCCCCCUCGCAUUAAUGGCCGCCUCCCCUCCCUAUCCCCUUCGUCGUCGCGCCCCAGGACUCUCCCCUCCUCCUCCUGCUCCUGCUGCUUGACCCACAAGGCUUCUCCCUCCUCCUCCUCCCCUUGGGGCUGGGCGCCUGCUGCUGCUGCUAUAUAUACGCGCGCGCGCGACCCCGAUCAAUUCGUAGUCGUAGCAUGCUCGGUUCCCGCUCUCGGAUUGACCGAGCACGGACGCCGUCGCGAUGGAUUCGGGGCCUUCUUCCUCCUCUCCCUGGGCCUCCGCCGCCGGCACUCCCUGCUGCCGUUUUGACGCGCUGCGGAGGACUGCGCCAGCCACGCCGCCGCCGCCGCGGGGGCCGCCGGCUGGGCGCUCGCCGCGCUGCUCACCUGCGUCUUCGCCGUCGUGGGCUCACUCGUCGGGAUCUUCAUUGGCGCAUUCAUGGGGAUGUCCACGGAAAGCGGCAUGCUCCGCGGGGCUGGAGUCGGAGCAGUCUCCGGUGCAGUUUUCUCCAUCGAGGCUGUUGAAUCCUGCAUCGAGAUUUGGAGGUCCAGCCAUUCAGGAAAAUACAGCAUUCUCUUUGUGCUGGACAUCAUAUCUAGCCUCUUCAGUGGAAGAAUUGUGUGGGAAAAAGUCAGUCCAGCACUGCAGCGUGCAGUACAAAGCCAGAUGAGUCUACUGAGCACACCAUUCAUGGACAACAAUGACCUUUUCGAAACUGGCAGCACAGGAGGCAUGUCAAGGGAAUUGAUUGACAGGAUCCCAAAGAUGAGGUUUGUUGCUGCAAGCAACUGCAAUCAGGAAACUGAUAGCAGCUGCUGUUCAGUCUGCCUUCAGGAUUUUGGAGCGCAACAAUUUGUGAGGGCCCUGCCUCAGUGCCAACACGUAUUCCAUGUACGUUGCAUCGACAAUUGGCUCCUUAGACAGGCAUCUUGCCCACUAUGUCGGUCCGGUGUUCAUAUAGACGAUAUACAUAUGUAAAUAAACUCGCAGAGUGGCACCUGGUGUAUUUUCAUAGUGAAUACCCGUGCUCCUGUUUGAUAUCAUAAAUAUAGUUGUAUACAUAGGUUUUCUCUUUUUUGUUACUUCUGCAGUCGUAUGUGGUGCUAUGCUUUCAGCUGCACGUUUUUGUCAAAGUAAUAACAUGAUAUGUACAUCUCGAAAAUGGACCAACUAACAAGCUCCCUGAAUUAUGCCCUUGUCCGGUUGUGCCUCAA